RNAcentral lists this ribosomal RNA (497 nucleotides) under uncultured bacterium. RNAcentral's name for it is "partial 16S ribosomal RNA". It matches the Rfam family "Bacterial small subunit ribosomal RNA", at positions 28 to 507 of the family's 1533-position model. The record is from RNAcentral.
GAUGAACGCUGGCGGCGUGCCUAAUACAUGCAAGUCGAGCGAACAGAUGAGGAGCUUGCUCCUCUGACGUUAGCGGCGGACGGGUGAGUAACACGUGGAUAACCUACCUAUAAGACUGGGAUAACUUCGGGAAGCCGGAGCUAAUACCGGAUAAUAUAUUGAACCGCAUGGUUCAAUAGUGAAAGACGGUUUUGCUGUCACUUAUAGAUGGAUCCGCGCCGCAUUAGCUAGUUGGUAAGGUAACGGCUUACCAAGGCAACGAUGCGUAGCCGACCUGAGAGGGUGAUCGGCCACACUGGAACUGAGACACGGUCCAGACUCCUACGGGAGGCAGCAGUAGGGAAUCUUCCGCAAUGGGCGAAAGCCUGACGGAGCAACGCCGCGUGAGUGAUGAAGGUCUUCAGAUCGUAAAACUCUGUUAUUAGGGAAGAACAAAUGUGUAAGUAACUAUGCACGUCUUGACGGUACCUAAUCAGAAAGCCACGGCUAACUACGUG